UGCGAAGGGGGCUAGCGUUGCUCGGAAUCACUGGGCGUAAAGGGUGCGUAGGCGGGUCUUUAAGUCAGGGGGGAAAUCCUGGAGCUCAACUCCAGAACUGCCUUUGAUACUGAGGAUCUUGAGUUCGGGAGAGGUGAGUGGAACUGCGAGUGUAGAGGUGAAAUUCGUAGAUAUUCGCAAGUACACCAGUGGCGAAGGCGGCUCACUGGCCCGAUACUGACGCUGAGACGCGAAAGCGUGGGGAGCGAACAGG
Molecule: ribosomal RNA, 253 nt
Filed under: uncultured bacterium
Lineage: Bacteria
Description: partial 16S ribosomal RNA
Rfam family: Bacterial small subunit ribosomal RNA
Source: RNAcentral